This 396-nucleotide ribosomal RNA is filed under the name uncultured bacterium. RNAcentral's name for it is "partial 16S ribosomal RNA". It matches the Rfam family "Bacterial small subunit ribosomal RNA", at positions 523 to 917 of the family's 1533-position model. The record is from RNAcentral.
AUACGUAGGGGGCGAGCGUUGUCCGGAAUGAUUGGGCGUAAAGGGCGCGUAGGCGGCCCGGUAAGUCUGGAGUGAAAGUCCUGUUUUUAAGAUGGGAAUUGCUUUGGAUACUGUCGGGCUUGAGUGCAGGAGAGGUAAGUGGAAUUCCCAGUGUAGCGGUGAAAUGCGUAGAGAUUGGGAGGAACACCAGUGGCGAAGGCGACUUACUGGACUGUAACUGACGCUGAGGCGCGAAAGUGUGGGGAGCAAACAGGAUUAGAUACCCUGGUAGUCCACACUGUAAACGAUGAAUGCUAGGUGUAGGGGGUAUCGACCCCUUCUGUGCCGCAGUCAACACAAUAGGCAUUCCGCCUGGGGAGUACGGCCGCAAGGUUGAAAAUCAAAUGAAUUGACGGG